UACGGAGGAUGCAAGCGUUAUCCGGAAUGAUUGGGCGUAAAGCGUCCGCAGGUGGCAAUGUAAGUCUGCUGUUAAAGAGUCUAGCUCAACUAGAUAAGAGCAGUGGAAACUACAUAGCUAGAGUACGUUCGGGGCAGAGGGAAUUCCUGGUGUAGCGGUGAAAUGCGUAGAGAUCAGGAAGAACACCGGUGGCGAACGCGCUCUGCUAGGCCGUAACUGACACUGAGGGACGAAAGCUAGGGGAGCGAAUGGG
This 253-nucleotide ribosomal RNA is filed under the name uncultured bacterium. RNAcentral describes it as "partial 16S ribosomal RNA". It matches the Rfam family "Bacterial small subunit ribosomal RNA", at positions 524 to 776 of the family's 1533-position model. The record is from RNAcentral.